This 497-nucleotide ribosomal RNA is filed under the name uncultured bacterium. RNAcentral describes it as "bacterial SSU rRNA". It matches the Rfam family "Bacterial small subunit ribosomal RNA", at positions 28 to 535 of the family's 1533-position model. The record is from RNAcentral.
GACGAACGCUGGCGGCGUGCCUAACACAUGCAAGUCGAGCGAGUGAAUCUCCUUCGGGAGUGAAGCUAGCGGCGGACGGGUGAGUAACACGUGGGCAACCUGCCUCAUAGAGGGGAAUAGCCUUCCGAAAGGAAGAUUAAUACCGCAUAAGAUUGUAGCUUCGCAUGAAGUAGCAAUUAAAGGAGCAAUCCGCUAUGAGAUGGGCCCGCGGCGCAUUAGCUAGUUGGUGAGGUAACGGCUCACCAAGGCGACGAUGCGUAGCCGACCUGAGAGGGUGAUCGGCCACAUUGGGACUGAGACACGGCCCAGACUCCUACGGGAGGCAGCAGUGGGGAAUAUUGCGCAAUGGGGGAAACCCUGACGCAGCAACGCCGCGUGAAGGAUGAAGGUUUUCGGAUUGUAAACUUACUUUGUAUGAGGGACGGAUAAUGACGGUACCGUCAAAACAAAGACCACGGCUAACUACGUGCCACGCAGCCGCGGUAAACGUACGUACU